AAAUCCUGAAUCUUCCGACGGUCAAAUCACUACAUACACACUUUAACCAAUGGGUCACCAAACGAAAGAAAAAUUGAAAUCCAAAUAAAAAGUUGUCAUUAACGUGAUAAAAACGAGUACAAUACAAAGUACAACCAUGCAGCGAAAUAAAACCAAAUACACACAGAAGAAUAACAAACACUACCGAGAGAGGAUAUCCUUUUGCUGAUGUUUGUUUCCCGGGAUUCUUUUAUUUUCCUUUUGGAGUAAUUGGAAUUCUUAUAUUCCCAGAACCAGAAUUUCCACCUCAUAUCUGAUUGAUUGAUUGAUUCCUUAGCUAGCUAGACGAGGGAAUCAAUUUCUAUUUUUGAAUAGAGAAUCCAAUCCAGAAAUUGGUUUCAAUGAAUUUAGGUACCAGAUUCCAUUUCUAGUCAUCAGAUAGAUUGCAGAUUCUUCUUUUUAUGAAGCAAUGACGACAGUCACAGUAGGUGUUUUUUUCUAUCCCCACUUGGAAGCUGUUAUCCAAAAAUACUUUCCUGCCUAUUCCUUCCCAGUGAAAGCAACAAGUAACUUAAGCUUUACUUUUGACUACAUGAUCAAGAAAAUGACACAUAUAAUUGGAAUAGAAUUUAUUCUGAAAGCCUGUCGUGUAAAUUUCACCAGAAUAAUAAUUUCCCAGAUUAAAAUGGACGACCAAUUGGCAGAAAAAAUUAUUUAUAUGAUUAAAACACACUGGAACCGGAGCUCGACAGGUUCGCAGAAAUUAAAAAAUGCCGCAAUCAUUUCAUGAGUACAACAACCACAACACAGGAAGGUAGCAAUUAAGUCAGCAUUACCAAAUAUUAGCUUUCAUAAAAAUUCUAACAGGAGAAAGUUCCCAUAUGAUCACACGAAACGAGAUGAGUCUAGAGCUGCUUCUACUACUAGCCCCCAAAUUCGAGCAUGGGUGGGUGGCCAGUCAGGGAAAGAUGCUGCUUCUACUAGCUUGAAACAUCACUCGGUAAAGCACUAUUACAUGAUCCACCACAAUUUGCGAAAAAAAAAAAAAAAAAAAAUUUGCAUUCACGUAAUCAUUCUGAGAAGUCUGUUUUAGAUCAGAGCAUCCACAAAAUAGAUCAUCACCACCAUGAUUCACAAACAAAAUCAUUGACCAAAUAUAUCCUUAUGAAGUUAUAAGCCCAAAAAAAAAAUAAAUAAAUAAAUGAAAUGGUUGAAUUUCUCUCUCACUCUCUCUCUCUCUCUCUCACAGACACACACACAGGCUGAAGGACUAGAUUAAAUUACUAGUGAAUUUACCAUUAGCUCCCUGCAUAGCCCGAAACAAAGAUUAUCUCAUUAAUUUUAAUUUUUCUUUAACAAAAAUAUAUGACGACAAAUGAAUAUUUUUCAUUCAUUAAUUAAUUUUUUUAUUUUCUUUUCUUACAAUUAGUCAGAAAAAAUAAAAUAAAAUAAAAGCGAGGACGGAGCGAUGAAUAGAGUUGGAGUGAGCGCUGGAUGCAGAGGUUUAUCGAUCGAUUCAUGUAUUUUGUGUUAUUUUUCACAACAAAAUUUGCACAAAGUGAUCGAUGAACCGCUGCCUCCAGUGACUUCACUCUCUCUAUUUUCUGUUAAAUAAAAAUUCAAAAAAAAAAUUAAGAUUUAUCAGCAGCACAGAUCAGUGUAAACAGUUUCGAGUAACAGAGAUCUAACGUUCUAAAAGCUUAAUGAAACAAAAUAAAAAACAACUAUACGAACGGCAUACGUGCAAAUACAAAAGAAUUGUGAAUGCUUGUGUGUGUUAAUUUUAAAAAAAAAUAGAGAGAAAUAUUUGAGAGAGGAAUGGAUUUGAACCAGGAUUCAGAAGAGUCACCAUUGCUGUGGCUGUUGUGCCUGUCACUGUGCCUCUUUUAACACACACUCUCUCUCUCUCUCUAUUUGUGUCUCUUUGUUUUUGUUAACGAGAGAGAGACAGACUGUGACUUUUCUGAUGGUGGUAUUUACUAUACAUAAUCACGUGUUUUCCG
Molecule: long non-coding RNA, 1982 nt
Filed under: Citrus maxima (pomelo)
Lineage: Eukaryota; Viridiplantae; Streptophyta; Magnoliopsida; Sapindales; Rutaceae
Description: long non-coding RNA (CMAX_LNC004086)
Rfam family: MIR162_1 microRNA precursor family (bases 1468-1563)
Source: RNAcentral